RNAcentral lists this ribosomal RNA (715 nucleotides) under bacterium 34-L049393-122-001-B05. RNAcentral's name for it is "bacterial SSU rRNA". It matches the Rfam family "Bacterial small subunit ribosomal RNA", at positions 57 to 757 of the family's 1533-position model. The record is from RNAcentral.
GCAGUCGAGCGACAGAUAAGGAGCUUGCUCCUUUGACGUUAGCGGCGGACGGGUGAGUAACACGUGGGUAACCUACCUAUAAGACUGGGAUAACUUCGGGAAACCGGAGCUAAUACCGGAUAAUAUUUCGAACCGCAUGGUUCGAUAGUGAAAGAUGGUUUUGCUAUCACUUAUAGAUGGACCCGCGCCGUAUUAGCUAGUUGGUAAGGUAACGGCUUACCAAGGCGACGAUACGUAGCCGACCUGAGAGGGUGAUCGGCCACACUGGAACUGAGACACGGUCCAGACUCCUACGGGAGGCAGCAGUAGGGAAUCUUCCGCAAUGGGCGAAAGCCUGACGGAGCAACGCCGCGUGAGUGAUGAAGGUCUUCGGAUCGUAAAACUCUGUUAUUAGGGAAGAACAUACGUGUAAGUAACUGUGCACGUCUUGACGGUACCUAAUCAGAAAGCCACGGCUAACUACGUGCCAGCAGCCGCGGUAAUACGUAGGUGGCAAGCGUUAUCCGGAAUUAUUGGGCGUAAAGCGCGCGUAGGCGGUUUUUUAAGUCUGAUGUGAAAGCCCACGGCUCAACCGUGGAGGGUCAUUGGAAACUGGAAAACUUGAGUGCAGAAGAGGAAAGUGGAAUUCCUGUGUAGCGGGUGAAUGCGCAGAGAUAUGGAGGAACACCAGUGGCGAAGGCGACUUUCUGGUCUGUAACUGACGCUGAUGUGCGAA